Molecule: unclassified non-coding RNA, 3403 nt
Filed under: Octopus sinensis (East Asian common octopus)
Lineage: Eukaryota; Metazoa; Mollusca; Cephalopoda; Octopoda; Octopodidae
Description: zinc finger protein 879-like, transcript variant X8
Source: RNAcentral
UCUUCAUCUAAUUUUAUCUUCUAACGACUUUCUUAACCCUAUAUCAAUCUGUACUAACCCUAACUACACUUUUGUUUUCAAAAGGCUUCCUGCAGUCUUAACUAAUCAGGAAAAUAUCUUCAGCAAGUCAUGUGCCCAAUCUUCUAGCAAUGAACUAGCCACUCCUGUAGGUGUUUAAAAUUUCAAAGCAACAACAAAACUUCAAUAAUAUCAAUUAACUUGUUGUAAAGACCGGAUCCACUUCACUUAUACAUUUUCCAUAUUUCCCAAAGAUUUCAAUUUGAUCUUAAUGGAAAGAAAUUGUCUGUUGUUUUCAUCAAUAUUCCAUAUUUUGAUAAAAGACCUUCACAUGAAGAUGGAGCUCUCCAAAUUUAAUUUUAGUCAUGAAAAGCCGUUACAAUACAAGUACAGAAUCUCUUGUAAGAAAGCUGAAGGUUUUUCACUCCAAAGAUUGUCGCUUGGAGUUACACCAUUCAUCAAAUGUAGCCUGAUUUACAGGCUGUAAUAAUAUUUAAAAUCUUUAUUCCGUUCAGUGUGAACAUUCAUAGAUUUACCAGUCAUUUGGUAUGGAGAUGUCUUGCUUAAUGUAGAUCUCCCCAUUAUCCUAAGCUAGCAAGUCAUAUUUUCCUCUUAUAUAUAGUAAGCUGGUUACAACGUGCAUGUACUUUACUAGGCCUCUGGAUUCACUUUAAUUCUAUGCCUAUCUGUUCAACCUACGAAAGGGAUUUUUAUUUCAAAGUCGUGCGUAUAUCGACUGAAGCAGUUUCAGCAUGCGAGACUUAUAUUCAAGGAUAUGGCCUAUGAAUAUAUUGUACUACUAUUUCCAAAAUCCAAAACGUGCCUGCUACUAAAGGUUUCGGACGAGCAAUGGUGUACCUGUAUCAGCACAAUAACAACACAGAAAAAAUUUCACGUUAUCCGAAACUAAGAAUUUCAGGCGAAACUUUCUGUCGAAUGAAGAACGAAAGAAAACUUAGCCUGUAGACCACGUGACUUGAUUUCAUAUAUAACACCGCCAUCUUAGUCUCUGGCCAUGCUUUUACCGAUUCCUCGUGGACGGCGUUAGAAUUAUUUAGCAGUUGAUGUUUCUGAUUGAUACUAAGAAUGGGUAGUUAUUCAGGAGAAGAAAUGUAUUAAGGAUAUAUGACAGGCGAAGUAAACUGGUUAGAUUUUAAAGUCGGUGCCCUUAAAUCCAAAAAUUUAUGCGGAGGAAUUCAGUACCAAAGAAAAAUACUUUUGUUCACUUUUUGCUAUGUCUACGUUGUUUAACAGACAUAUUUCCAUUUGAAAGAAGACUUUCUGCAGAGGAUACUGCAAGUCUGCUGUGUUAGGGUAGAAAGAUUUAUCAACCAAUUAAUGUCUUCAGAAUAAAAGAAUAAAACUGAAAAUUAACUGAGAGAAUGUUUCACAAAGUCAGCAAAUGUUACAAAUGUGGUAUUUGUGGUAAAGUACUUACUACAAAAUAUAAUUUAGCUAUUCAUAAGCGCAUUCAUAUUGGGGAGAAGUUAUACCACUGUGAAGUAUGUGAGAAGGCAUUUUCUGUAAAAGCUUAUUUAACAGAACACAAACAUAUACAUACAGGAGAGAAACCGUUUCACUGCGAAAUAUGUGGAAAAUCAUUUUCUCAUAAAGGUUACGUAAAGAUACACAAACGUGUUCACACUGGAGAGAAACCAUACAAUUGCGAAAUCUGUGGCAAAGCAUUUUCAGAUCUUAGUAGUGCAAAAAGUCAUCAACUUAUUCAUACUGGAGAAAAACCAUUUCACUGUGAAAUAUGUGGAAAAUCAUUUUCUUAUAAAGGUUACUUAAAGAUUCACAAACGUACACACACAGGAGAGAAACCAUUUCAUUGUGAAAUCUGUGGUAAAGCAUUUUCACAGUUCAAUGGCGUAAGAAGUCAUCAGCUUAUUCACACUGGAGAAAAACGAUACCAUUGUGAAACCUGUGGCAAACCGUUUUCUCGACUUGGUAAUUUAAAAACGCAUAAACAUACUCAUACUGGGGAGAAGCCAUACAGGUGUGAUGAUUGUGGGAAAGGUUUUUCAACUGCAAGUGCCUGUGAAAUACACAGAGGUGUGCACUCAAAACCUUACCACUGUGAAAUCUGUGAUAAAGCAUUUUCUGUAAAAUACUCUUUAACAAUACACAAACGUCUUCACACUGGAGAGAAGCCAUAUCACUGUGAAGUAUGUGGGAAAGGAUUUACAAACAGAGGUACCUUAAUGAAGCAUAAACAUAGUCACACAGGAGAAAAACAACACCACUGUGAAAUCUGUGGGAAAGCGUUUCCUCAAAAAUAUUGUCUAAUAUUACACAAACGGAUUCACACAGGAGAGAAACCAUAUCACUGUGAGGUUUGUGGAAAAGACUUUGCUGGUAAGUGCAACUUAGUAAAUCACAAACGUAUUCAUACUGGGGAAAAACCACAUCACUGUGAAGUCUGUGGCAGAGCAUUUUCGCAAACUGGUAGUUUAAAACGACACAGACGUACUCACACAGGAGAGAAACCAUAUCACUGUUUAAUAUGUGGGAAAGAAUUUUCACUUAAGACCAGCUUAACAACACAUAACCGUAUUCAUACUAGACAAAAGUCACUGUAAUAUGAAAUUUGUGGGAAAGCAUUUUCAGAAAAAUUUGUCCUAUUGGUACAUAAACUUACUCAUACUGGAGAAAAACCAUAUCAUUGAAGUUUGUGACAAGGAAUUUUCCAAUAGUGGCAGCUUAAAAGGACAUAUACACACUGGGGAAAAACCACACCACUGUGAAAUCUGUGAUGGCUUGACUGAGAACUGGUAAGCUGGGUGGUUGCACCAGGCUCCAAUCUGAUUUGGCAUGGUUUCUAUGGUUGGAUGCCCUUCUUAAUGCCAACCACUCCGAUAGUGUUGUGGGACCUUUUUACUUGACGCCGGCAUGAGUACCAGUGAGGCAGCACAGGCAUUAGCCUUACUCGAUGCUUCUUUAUGUGUGUGUGUCUUGUAUUACCUCCUCACUGUCACUUGACAACCAGUGUUGGUUGGUUUAUGUCACCAUAACUUACAGUACCAAUAAAGAAACCAAGUGAAUAAAUACUAGAUUUGCAAAAGGCUGUACCCCAGCAUGGCCACAUUCCACUGAUGGAAAGAGGAAAAAGAUUAAUGGAAGUGGUUCCAUUUCAACUAAAACUAUAAUUACGUGAAACAUUAAUACUGAGUGGAAAUAUUCCAAUGACCCUGGGCCCAUGGCAGUACCUCCAACAGAGUAUUACUUAAACACUGUCCCAAAUAAUUGGAAUACUUUUUGGACAUAUUUUCAUUGGAAAGAAGAUUUUCUGCAGAGGAUACUGAGAGUCUGCUCUGUUAGGGUAGAAAGAUUUAUCAACCAAUUUAUGUCUUCAGAAUGAAAGAAUAAGACUGUGAAAAUUAAC